ACCCUCCUUGGGCAGGUGCACGUGUUUUUAUCUGAUUACGGGUUGGGAUGUCUGACGGGUGGAGCGGCCACAGGUGUGGGCAAUAACAAUCAGCCAUCUUUAAAAGCCAGUGGACGCCACCACCACCUCCUCGCCCGAUCAACUUGUCUGCGUACCUCUGUCAGUUGCAUCUUAACAUUUUGAUUCAUCCAUUUGAUUACUGUUUUUUUUUUUUUAUUGUUUGACUAUUUUUGCUCUUGCCUAAACGCUGAUUGUCGGAUUCCACGCCUGCCUCCUUCCGAAUCGCCUCUUCGUCCUGGCUAAACUACUCCAAGCCUGACGUCACCCACCUUCUGCCUUGGCUCUCACGUCAUCAACUAUCUCGUGUUCACCAAUAAAAUAUCAUUCAUCUCAACCGGCUGAUUGCUUGGGGAUCCACCCCCCUUUCUCAUGCACCUCUAACAUCCUUAAACAAGGUGGUUGUGGUCAACUCAGCUAAUCAGUGGUUUAAUCGACGGGAGAACUCUCAGGAGCGAAGUGUCCUUUCCCAAGGCCUUGCUUCUGAGGACCGCAUCGCUGUGGCCAGCUCUCAGCUUCCUGCUCCAC
Molecule: long non-coding RNA, 585 nt
Organism: Corythoichthys intestinalis (scribbled pipefish)
Lineage: Eukaryota; Metazoa; Chordata; Actinopteri; Syngnathiformes; Syngnathidae
Exons: 2
Source: RefSeq, a predicted model, not a curated record